Long non-coding RNA from Ornithodoros turicata, 349 nucleotides. RefSeq lists it as uncharacterized. The record is from RefSeq and is a predicted model, not a curated record. The transcript is spliced from 2 exons. Lineage: Eukaryota; Metazoa; Arthropoda; Arachnida; Ixodida; Argasidae.
UUGGACGCUUACUUGCUUAUUCUACCCUGCUUCUCGGAGCCAUCUGGACGUAUUUCGCUCCGCUCUGCGUGGGACUUAUAUUUUCGUCGCCGUCUCCAUGCUGUGACAGUGUCUUUGUGCCGUGUCAGUGAUCACUGAAGGUGUUUUGUGUGUGUACCUUAGAAUCAACCUACAGAAGCCGUGGCAGGUGUGUGCGCAUUCCAGAUACCUUCGUCAAAUAUGCAGAAAAAGAAACUAUCGACAUCAAAGGUGCCUGGACAGAAACGGAAAAAGCUCAUCAAAAAGCAUUUGGCAAACUUUCUGAGGGACCUACGUCGCGCCAGUACCUGAAUAAACCGGUAUUUUGUAA